CCUACGGGGGGCAGCAGUGGGGAAUAUUGGACAAUGGGCGAAAGCCUGAUCCAGCCAUGCCGCGUGUGUGAAGAAGGCCUUCGGGUUGUAAAGCACUUUCAGUGGGGAAGAAAGCCUUGGGGCUAAUACCCUCGAGGAAGGACAUCACCCACAGAAGAAGCACCGGCUAACUCCGUGCCAGCAGCCGCGGUAAUACGGAGGGUGCGAGCGUUAAUCGGAAUUACUGGGCGUAAAGCGCGCGUAGGCGGUCUGAUAAGCCGGUUGUGAAAGCCCCGGGCUCAACCUGGGAACGGCAUCCGGAACUGUCAGGCUAGAGUGCAGGAGAGGAAGGUAGAAUUCCCGGUGUAGCGGUGAAAUGCGUAGAGAUCGGGAGGAAUAACAGUGGCGAAGGCGGCCUUCUGGACUGACACUGACGCUGAGGUGCGAAAGCGUGGGUAGCAAACAGGAUUAGAUACCCGAGUAGUC
This 465-nucleotide ribosomal RNA is filed under the name Vreelandella stevensii. RNAcentral's name for it is "partial 16S ribosomal RNA". It matches the Rfam family "Bacterial small subunit ribosomal RNA", at positions 338 to 795 of the family's 1533-position model. Lineage: Bacteria; Pseudomonadati; Pseudomonadota; Gammaproteobacteria; Oceanospirillales; Halomonadaceae. The record is from RNAcentral.